This 505-nucleotide ribosomal RNA is filed under the name uncultured Glomeromycotina. RNAcentral's name for it is "SSU rRNA". It matches the Rfam family "Eukaryotic small subunit ribosomal RNA", at positions 591 to 1097 of the family's 1831-position model. Lineage: Eukaryota; Fungi; Glomeromycota. The record is from RNAcentral.
UCAAUAGCGUAUAUUAAAGUUGUUGCAGUUAAAAGCUCGUAGUUGAAGUUCGAGAUUCGUCCGUUGGUCGGGCUUAACUGUCCGUACUAACGUGACGGAUUUCUACCUUCUAAAGAACCUUUAUGCCAUUUAGUUGGUGUGUUGGGGAAUUAGGACUGUUACUUUGAAAAAAUUAGAGUGUUUAAAGCAGGCUAUUGUCUGAAUAUAUUAGCAUGGAAUAAUGAAAUAGGACGGUUUGGUUCUAUUUUGUUGGUUUCUAGGAUCACCGUAAUGAUUAAUAGGGAUAGUUGGGGGCAUUAGUAUUCAAUUGUCAGAGGUGAAAUUCUUGGAUUUAUUGAAGACUAACUUCUGCGAAAGCAUUUGCCAAGGAUGUUUUCAUUAAUCAAGAACGAAAGUUAGGGGAUCGAAGACGAUCAGAUACCGUCGUAGUCUUAACCAUAAACUAUGCCGACUAGGGAUCGGAUGAUGUUAAUUUUUAAUGACUCAUUCGGCGCCUUACGGGAAA